UUUUCUUUGCAGGUUCACUUUUGCGUAGGCCAGGACUGGCGACAUGGACACAACUCGAACGCGUAAGGGAAUCCUUAGAUAUUACCCUCGACGACUAUCCGACUACACUCCGGAUCCACACACAGCCUCCUCCCGCCUGGUCUCAGCAGGUUCCAAAGUCAUAUUUCUCUUUAUCACGUUACCUGUACUCAUACGCAUCGACGUACUAUUCAAAUACAACAUAUGGCUUUAUAUGACGCUUAUCUGCUGUUAUUUCUUAUUGAAAAUCUUUGUCAAAUGGCAUUUGUACACCGUGAUAUGCCUUAAUAUGCCAGGGGCUUCAUUGUACCCAUAAUCCAGCAAUAAAGUCCGAACACCUUCACGGUCGUUCGGCACCCCGAACUUAUAGCAUUAUAUGCAUCGGCUCUGAAUCAUGUCUUGGGUCAAUAGUUGGGUUUGCCCAGCUCCAAUGUUUUGCUGCCUUAUGUUCCGCUAUAUCGGCUAAGGCGGCAUAGGGAGAACUACUGCAAUUGUGUCCCGGUUCUUCCGGACGAGCGCCUCAGUAGAGAAAGCCGAAAAUUGACUGUCAUGAUAUGGCGAGAGCUGGUGAUCUAUUCGAGAGGUUGUAAAAUCUUUAAGGAUUUCUUCUGCAUUAUGCAAUAACUAAUGCAGCGUGCGAUGGAUCGGCUUUUCUUCUGAUCAGGUGCUCAUAGAGCCCCUUGUGCGGUCUUCCGAACACCAGGGGCUGCGCCUACCUUUAUUUUGUCAAACUCCUAUGGCUAAGUGAGAGUGAUAAAGCCUUAUAGUUCGAUUGCUUGGUUUGUCGCGCUGAACACCUCCUUCAAGGACCCAAAACUGGGAUAAAGAGUGCUCAGGUUUAUCCCGAACACCCCUGUACUUCCUACGUGGGGGCAGAAGCCGACGACUGGCCAACUCUUAGGAUAUAUAUAAAAUGGCUGCGGAGGUGGAAAAACUUUCAAAUAAUAGGCAAUCAAUAAUAGAAACGACCUUGUUUAACAUUACAAAGGACAACAUGACUGUAUUCAUGGAAAUAUAAUGUCCUUGGUGCAUUGCUCCGCCGCAAGGCAGGAUCCUUUUAGGACACUAUCAUAAUAUAACUCAGGCAUGCGGUGCUCCUUCCCCUCCGGCGGUCCCUCAGUCAUUAGUUUUUCAGCGUCCAUCUUCCCCCAGUGCACCUUUGCAUGGGCAAAGACCAUUCGUGCACCCUCCAUACAGACCGACCGCUUGAUGACAUCAAGUCAAGGGCAGGCACUCACAAGCCGCUUCACGAGCCCGAAGUAGCUGCUUGGAAUCGGCUCAUUGGGCCAUAGCCGGAUAAUUAAAUCCUUCAUGGCUAGUUCGGCCGCCUUAUCUAGUUCGAUCAGUUGUUAAUUCGGUGCCAAAUACUGCGACCAAAAGAGCUUAUCCGUAGUGUUCCUCUAUUCGGCUCGAUAGAAUUGGGCGGCAUCAGAUAUGCAGCGUGGCAGCUCCGCAAAAUACCCCUGGAGAAAUCCGAACUCAAAUUAGAAACGUGAUUUUCUCCUCAAAUACUUGCUUUACAUACAAAAAGCCUUACCUACCGCGAUCUUCCUCGCCUCCUGGAUCUCCUGCAGGGCGCCUUGGGUUUCCCCUCGGGCAUCGCGUGCGGCUUGAUGAGCCUCGGUGAGUUCGGAUUCUUUCUCUAUUAAGCUCUGCUCCAAGGUCUCGCAUUUCUUCACAGUCUCUUCAAGCUCUUGCUCAUCGUCAAUAACCGUGGCCUCGUGCUUCUCAUGAAGAGCAUGCUCUGCGGCUGCCUUCUUCUCGGCCUCGGCCACAUCCUUCUUAAGGGCCUCGACUUAAGUCAUCGCCCCUAGAGCAAACCAUGAACAUAUUUUUAUCAUACUAAAUAUUCAUUCACGCUGAACGCGCAAGGUAUCUUGCAUACCUUGUUCAUCCUCCAACUGCUUUUUCAACUGGCCAAGUUCCCCUUCGGCCGGCUCCAGACUCUGCUUUACUCCGGAGACUUCCACGGUAUGAGAGGCGACAGGCGCUACAGACACCUGAAGAUGCUAUAAAGUGAGUCUCCUGCGAACAUAUAUUGGAUUCUCUGUCCGGUUCUUUCUUUCGCCGAACAGCGUAUCAGGGGCUACUACCUAUACUAUAACACUCUUCGAAACCUCACAAGACAUACCUCAAAGCCCGUUAUAAGCCUGAUGCAGGCUUCAUUCAGUCCACUCUCCGCAGACUGGAUCUUCUCAAUCACCGUACCGUUAAGGGCAUGGUAUUCUUCAAUGAUGGAGGCGCUCUUUAGCGCCGCCAGUAAAGUAUUCGGCACCUCUGGUUGGACAGAGGUUGCCAAUGGAACAGGCGCACCCCCUCCAGCCGAGGGAGGCUGCCUGCCUGAUUCUGGAGCCGUACCGGUCUCCAGAAUUGUGUCCGGCCGGGGGCAAAAUUCGAGAUAGCCCCCAUCGUCGACGUCCAUGGGAGCCUUUUCUCCCGUCUGUCCGGCCCCUGAAGUUUGACCUCCUGGUGCCGCCUUGACGAUCUCCCCCCCCCUUCUUGGCCUGGGUCCCUCUGUGACGAUACCUCGGUAUCGUUCACGUAUUUUGGGGAAGGGGCCUUCGGGGGUGUCUUGUUGUCCAUAGCAUCUGAACCCAAUAAAUCCCCUGAUGAGGAUCAUUCGGUGCGGGACCUCGCCGAACUAAAAAAAGUAUGGCUCAAUGAUUAGAAUGUCAUACCAUGGUGAGUCCGGAUGCGUAAAUGUGUUCGGAUUUUAUAUACUCAUGAGUUCAACAGGUGCUAGGCCCUGGGAUCCCACUCCGGGCUGCUGUCGGUGGCGGCGGUGGACUCCUCUGGAAGAGGAGUUUUUCCCUUCUUAGGCGACUCGGCCUCCAAGGAUGUGGAGGCCGUCCUUUUCUUUCUUCCCCUCGCUGGGGAUUCGUCUUCCUUCUCUUCCUCGUCCUCUCCAGAGGAGCCUUCGGAUAUUGUGUCCGAAGCACCACAGCGACGGAGGCUACUCCUGGUCUUGUUGACCUCCUUCUCGGCCUUUUCUUCGGCGCCUUGUAAGGUUGCGGGACCAACAUCUUCGUCAGAAGUGGGCCGGCCGGUUCUUCUGGCAGUGGGGCAGGACAGUAGAUCCGCCCCGCCUUCUUCGUCCAGCCCUAGGAGAGUUGUGGAAAACACAUUAAGCAUUUCCCUUGGGUUAUGCGAAUAAAAUGUAUGACUUGCCAAACAUGCAAUGGCUUACUGAACUUGCAGGACGGGACAGUUGGUACCCGCGGUCCUCGGCGGAGUUCGGCCACGAUUUGCCGGACUUAAAAAGCACCUUCCAGAUGUCCAUGCGAGGAGCCAAAGAGCUCUAGCAGGGUCUAGUGCUUGGCCGGGUCGAAUUCCCAUAAACUGCAAACCCUGUGUUGACAAGGAAGAAUCCGGCGAACUAAAAUCACCUGGACUACAUUGACGAGUUUGAUAUUCUUGUCUUCCAUAUCCUUGAUGCGCGUCUGGAGCGUCAACAGCUCGUCGGGAGAAGACGAGUUCAGGCCCUUUUUGGGCCAGGACGUGAGCCGCAGGGGAGCUCCGGAUCGGAAUUCGGGAGCUGCAGCCCAUUUUGGGUCGCGCGGCUCAGCGACAUAGAACCACUGUUGUUGCCAUCGUUUGACGGAAUCAUUAAAAGUACCUGACGGCCAUGUGACAUUGGGCAUCUUGCUCACCAUGGCACCUCCGCACUCGGCGUGCUCGCCGCUCACUACCUUGGGCUUCACAUUGAAGAUCUUCAGCCAUAAGCCGAAGUGUGGCGAGAUGCGGAGAAAGGCCUCUCACACGACGAUGAAUGUCGAGAUGUUGAGGAAGGAAUUGGAGGAUAGAUCAUGAAAAUUGAUCCCGUAGUAAUACAUGAUGCCGCGAACGAAUGGGUGGAGGGGCAACCCUAGCCCGCGGACAAAAUGAGGGAGGAAUACAACCCUCUCGUGGGGUUCUGGAGUAGGGACAAUCUGUCCUGCCGUCGGAAGACGGUGGCUGAUUUUCUUUGCCAGAUACCCGGCCUCCCGAAGCUUUUUGAUAUCCUUCUCCCGGACGGUAGAGGCCAUCCACUUGCCUCUUGCCCCGGAUCCGGGCAUUUUCGGAGGGCCUUUGUGGGUGGAGAAGACAAAUGCUUGGGCGCUGGAGCUCGAGCGAGGGGGAAUGGAUGAGUAUAGGAAGAAGAAGGCGUGGGUGAAAAAGGUGUCACAGCCCUAGAAUAUUGUUUGUAGAUAGUUGCAUCUUCAUCCAGGCAUCAUAUUUAAAUUUCUGAAACAUGAAUUGAGGAUUGUUGAAGCCUCAAAACUUUAAUUAAAAGAAGGGCAAAAUAACCCUGGAAAAUGCAUUCAAUGAUUCCAAAAUGGCCUUAACUAAUGUUGGUUAUAUUUUGGCCAGGGUUUUACACCAAACCAAAAAUAAUGAACAUUUUUGAGGAAUAUUUUGAGCAUUGAAUUUAAAUCAUAUUCUAUUUGAAUUUGGAAUUAUAUUCAUAAUAUAUAAUGAAUAUAUUUUCAAAUGACCUGAGAUAUUUUUUGUAUUUGUGAAAAAGUCCAUUAAGUGACUUAAAAUAUCCAGGGGAGUUUUGGCACUGUUUUCAAAUUUGCUUGAAUUUGAAUUCAGUGGCAAUUAAAUAAAAAAAAGCAAAACAGAAAAGAAAAAAAAAGAACAGAAACUUACCUGGACUCACCUGGCGCUCACCGAAGCCACCUGGACGGCCCAACACUUCCGGCCCAGCCCGCCACCGCUACUCCCCCCCCUGUCGUCUUCCUCUGCCAGUAGGCAGAGGCGAGGCGUGGCGCGCGCCCGAGAGCUCCGGCAACCUCCUGCUUACCUGCUCGCCGCUGGAGGCACCCGAGGGAGCCACGCACUCCCCCUCGCCCCCUGCACCUCUCCUCUCUCCCCCUGGACCCCAUCCCCUCCUCUGCUCCCCUCUCGCGCACACCACCGAGCGGAGCUCGCCGUCAUCGUCGCCGUACCCGUGGCCACCGGCCACCCCUAGCCUCGCCGAUGCGCCCAGGAGCUCCGCCUCGACCCCCUCUUCCUCCCCACCGAUCCACGACCCUCCGGAUGCCCUGCAUCGCCGCCAACGUGCCGUCUUCAACCUCCGGAUCCGACGGCCCCCUCCGGUCAAUUUGCGGCCUCAGCGCGUCCCCGGCUACACCGAGUUGCUCCCCUUCACCGCUGUGAGCUCCUCUUCGUUCUCCCCCUCUCCCCACCAUCGAUUGCAUCCCCUAGCCGUUGUUUCUGUGAUGGCCGAGAGCUCGCUGCCGCCGCCAUGAAGCUCGCCGUUGCUAGCGACCCCUGCUGACCAUGAAGAGCACCUGGACGAGUUCGACACGUCCCGCAGAUGCUUCCCAACCGCCUAGCUUGUUCAUUUGCAAGCUGCAGCCCCGCGCCGCUCGAACCCGUAGCUCCGGCCGCCGCCGUUCUGGUCGCCGCCGUCGACCCCGGCCUCCCUGUGCCUAGCUGCGUGCGCCCCUAGACGCGCGGGAGCACGGGCUCCCUCCUGGUGCCCUCAGGGUGCCCAACCGCAGCCUGUAGCGCCGCCUCGACCAACUCCGGCGAGUUCCCGCCGCUGCUGUGGUCGCCGGCGUCACCUGCUGACGUGGCGCCGGUUAAUUAGUGCUAAUAACCCCGCUAAAGACCCCCAGAGCCACUGCCAUGUGGGCCCCUGCGCUUAAUUAGGUUAAUAUAAUUAUUCUAUUAAAUUAGCGUUAGUGCCGUGGACCCCACGUGUCAGCUUUGACUCUGGCCCAGUCAUCGUUGACCGGUCCCACCUGUCAUUCACUCAAUCCAGACCUGAGACACUGACCAGUGGGCCCCACUGGUCAGGUUUGACCGGACCAGCCCAGUUGACUCUGCUGACGUCACAGUGACGUGGUGCUGACGCCAUAAAUCAUUUUCUGGAAUUAUUUUAAUUCUAAAUAUUCAGGAAAUUCCAGUAAAUGCCUAAAACUUCUAAAAUUCAUAGAAAUUCAACCGUAACUCCAAAUUAAAUAAUUUAUAUAUGAAAAAUUAUCAGAAAAAUUCAAGGAAUCCAUCUGUACCAUUUUCAUGCAUGUUUGAACAAUGUUUGUCCUCUGUUUUGGACAAAACAAAUAAAGGGCAUUUAAAUAAUCAUAUAUGGAGUUGGAAAUUGAAUCAUGUGUUCAAACCAACUUCAUUUAAAUCAUAGCUAGAUGCACUAGCCCAAAACACAUUCAUAUUGCCAUGUCAUAGCAUGCAUCAUAUUGUGCAUUGCAUUGAUCGUGUUUCUUCUGUGUUUGCCGGUGUUGUUCCCCCUCGGUGGACGUUGUACCGACGAUGUGAUCGUUGACACUAAUGAAGACUCAAUGUUAUCUUCAGAAGUGCCAGGCAAGCAGAACCCCCUUGUUCAUUCCGAUACAAUCCCACUCUCUCGCUCUUGCUCUUUUUUACUGCAUUAGGACAACAACGAUUCAUCUGUUACUUGCUGCGGUAGCUGAACCCCUUUAUCCUUUGCAUGACCUGUCAUUCCACAGUAAAUAGAUGAAACCCACUAGCAUGAGUAGGAGUUGUUUGAGCCCUGAUGUGCCUACUCAUUCAUGUUUGUUUGUCAUGCCUGCUACUGCUUAGAGUUGAGUCAGGUCUGAUUCAUCAGGGAUGAAUCAGAGGUGUGUGAACAUGUCCUACUAUGUGUGAGCUAAGUGUGUGAACACGAUUUGGUAAAAGGUAUCGGUGAGAGGCCAUGUAGGAGUACAUGGUGGGUUGUCUCAUUGAAGCCGUCCUCAGGAACUGAGUUCUGUGUUUGUGAUCCAUGAUUCAGCUACUACCAUGCAUUGGGCCCUGAAAUAUGACCCCGCUCAACUUCUUAUUCACCCUAGCUCUCUGUCCAGGAGUUGCAAGUAGUUUCUGGUGUUUGUAGCCUACUGGAGGCCGUGGACAGCGCUGACCGUAGGGGUGGGCUGUCAUGCGGUAGGUACGUGGCCGGGUGUACCGAAUACCCGUUAGGUAUCUCGGGAACCCUGUUCACAUCGUUCGGGGCCGUAUGGGAAACCUCGGCCGGACUCCCUACGGAUGGAACCUGGAUAGGCAAUAAACCUGGACUAGAGGCUUAGGUGUUUAGGUAGGUCGUGGUCUACACCCACGUCGGCUUUCGCUUGAAGUCUGCCGAGCACAUGUCGUGUGCAGACGCUAAGUGGUGGAAACAUGUAUGAAGAAGUACACCCCUGCAGGGUUAAUAUCAUCUAUUCGAAUAGCCGUGUCCGCGGUAAAGGACUUCUGGGUUGCUUAUAUCAGUUCAUAGACAAGUGAAAGUGGAUACUCUAAAAUACGCAAGAUAAGCGUGAGUGCUAUGGACGGCGUUCUCAUAGGGAGACGGGAGUGGAUCCAUAGUGGUGUAUUGAUAUGGUGAAUAUGUGGACUCGUGUGCGCCACCUCAAAAGGAGUUACUUGCAGUCGUAGUUUAGGAUAGCCACCGAGUCAAAGCUGGCUUGCUGCAGUUAAACCCCACCAUCCCCUUGUUGAUAAUGAUGCAUAUGUAGUUAGAUCUGAUGUAAGUCUUGCCGGGUACAUUUGUACUCACGUUUGCUUAAUUUAUGUUUUGCAGAGAGACCUCUGUCUCGCUAGUUGUUCCACGCGGACUUCGACAUUGAGCUUGUUACCUCAGAUACGAUCUUGUGCCCUCGGCAGGAUCUGAUAGAUAGUCAGGCUUCUCAGCCUUUUCCAUUUAUAGAUGUCUGUACUCAGACAUGAUAGCUUCCGCUUGUGUUUGACUUGUAUGCUCUGAUUGUUGGGUCAUGACACCCAUGUUUGUAAUAUCUCGCUCAUCGGAGCCUAUUGAAUAAAUUACUUGAGUCGUAGAGUCAUGUUGUGAUGCCAUGUUGUAUUUGCACAUAUCGAGCAUAUUGUGUGUAUGUUAUUGAAAUGCUUGGUAUGUGUGGGAUCUGACCAUCUAGUUGUUUACCUUUAGUAGCCUCUCUUACGGGGAAAUGUCUCCUAGUGUUCCACCGAGCCAUGGUAGCUUGCUACUGCUUCGGAACACUUAGGCUAGCCGGCAUGUGUCCUUCUUCGUUCCUGUGUCUGUCCCUUUGGGGAAAUGUCACGCAUUGAGUACCGGAGCCCUGUUAGUCCGCUACAGCCCGGUUUACCGGAGUCCUGCUAGCCCAGUGCUACAGCCCGGACCCACUUGCUGAUGACCGACACGUUUGAUGCUGGGUCAUGGAUGCCUGUCCCUGUAAGUCUGUGCCACUUUGGGUUUAUGACUAGUCAUGUCAGCCCGGGCUCUUUAUCAUAUGGAUGCUAGCGACAUCAUCAUAUACGUGAGCCAAAAGGCGCAAACGGUCCCGGGGAAAGGUAAGGAGACACCCGUGGAAUACCGUGCGUGAGGCCGCAAAGUGAUAUGAGGUGUUACAUGCUAGAUCGAUGUGGCAUUGAGUCGGGGUCCUGACAAAAGGGGAGUCCUUAUCACCUUAUAAAGGAAGCAGGGAUCCUGCGCCUCCCCACUUACCUGGUAAACUCGCUUAUUCCCCGAGCUUUGCGUUGAUGGCGCGGUUGGGUUACCCACACCCGUAUUGAUGAGCAUCCCGAUAUAAGGGGACACGAUCUCUGCCUAGACAAGACGUGCCAAUAAAACCGCUUCGCAAUAUGUGCGGUAGCAGGUUGAGAAAAAUGGUUCGCAUAAUGACCAGGCCGCGGCGUGAUGUCACACUAUGGAAAAUUGUCAGCUGAUUAGAUUUGUGAAAUAUUGUACUCUCUACGGUGGUAUGUGGAAUUUGUUUUUGCAGAGCCGGACAUGAUUCAUGUGUUCAAAAUUUACCUUGGUGUAUUCGGAGAAGGAACCCGCCUUGCAAUGUCGAAGACAAUCUGCGCGCCAGACUCGUCGUCAUUGAAGCCUGGUUCAGGGGCUACUGAGGGAGUCCUGGAUUAGGGGGUCCUCGGACAGCCGGAUUAUGUACUUGUGUUGGACUGUUGGACUAUGAAGAUACAAGAUUAAAGACCUCGUCCUGUGUCCGGGUGGGACUCUCAUUUGCGUGGAAGGCAAGCUUGGCAAUUCGGAUAUGUAGAUCUCCUUCUCUAUAACCGACUCUGUGUAACCCUAGCCCCCUCCGGUGUCUAUAUAAACCGGAGGGUUUAGUCUGUAGGAUGACAAUCAUAAUCAUAGGCUAGCUUCUAGGUUUUAGCCUCUACGAUCUCGUGGUAGAUCAGCUCUUGUAAUACUCAUAUCAUCCAGAUCAAUCAAGCAGGAAGUAGGGUAUUACCUCCAUCGAGAGGGCCCGAACCUGGGUAAACAUUGUGUCCCCCGCCUCCUAUUACCAUUAGCCUUAGAUGCACAGUUCGGGACCCCCUACCCGAGAUCCGCCGGUUUUGGCACCGACAGCGGGUUCUGGCUUUGCUCUUCUCCGGCAUAGUCGUCCAUGCCGUCGAUGUCCUCGGAGGCGUAAUCGAGCAUGUCGGUUAAGUCCUCGACAGUGGCUAUGAAGUGGAUGGUGGGUGAGACGUAAAAUUCCCGCUCUCAGCCCCUAGGCGGGCUAGGCAUAGUUCGGCAGCGAUCCUUCCGUAGUGGCAAGAGAUCACAUUAAGUCCAGAGCCUCGUUUAAGAGUGAGGUAUGGACAGGGAGCAAGAAUCCAUGGAGUGGGGCGUGACAGGAGUUCCUUGGCCGAGCUCGUAUAACACAGACCUCGAGAGUUCGAAAUUGGUGUACGGAGGUGAGUCCGGUUCGAUGGGGAUAGAGGGAGCCUGGAGUGACUCUGGGCUGGCCGGUGAAAUGACCCCCUCCAUGUCUUCGGUGUUGUGCUACGUCUUGAGCUUGCGUUGGUUUUCCUUGGACAGGAAAGGGUGAUGCAGCAAUAGUAGCGUAAGUAUUUCCCUCAGUUUUUGAGAACCAAGGUAUCAAUCCAGUAGGAGGCUCCUCAAAAGUCCCAUGCACCUACACAAACGAACAAAGAACUCGCAACCAACGCAAUAAAGGGGUUGUCAAUCCCUUCACGGCCACUUGCAAAAGUGAGAUCUGAUAGAGAUAGUAUGAUAAGAUAAAUAUAUUUUUGGUAUUUUAUAAUAUAGAUGCAAAAAGUAAUGAUAAAAAUAAAAGUAGAUUGAAAGCUUAUAUGAUAAAAGAUAGACCCGGGGAGCAUAGGUUUCACUAGUGGCUUCUCUCAAGAUAGCAUAAGUAUUACGGUGGGUGAACAAAUUACUGUUAAGCAAUUGAUAGAAAAGCGAAUAAUUAUGAGAUUAUCUAGGCAUGAUCAUGUAUAUAGGCAUCACGUCCGCGACAAGUAGACCGACUCCUGCCUGCAUCUACUACUAUUACUCCACACAUCGACCGCUAUCCAGCAUGCAUCUAGAGUAUUAAGUUCAUAAGAACAGAGUAACGCAUUAAGAAAGAUGACAUGAUGUAGAGAUAUAAACUCAAGCAAUAUGAUAUAAACCCCAUCUUUUUAUCCUCGAUGGCAAAAAUACAAUACGUGCCUUGCAACCCCUGCUGGCACUGGGUAAGGACGCCGCAAGAUUGAACCCAAAGCUAAGCACUUCUCCCAUGGCAAGAAAGAUCAAUCUAGUAGGCCAAACCAAACUGAUAAUUUGAAGAAACUUGCAAAGAUAACUCAAUCAUACAUAAAAGAAUUCAGAGGAGAUUCAAAUAUUUCUCAUAGAUAAACUUGAUCAUAAACCCACAAUUCAUCGGAUCUCGACAAACACACCGCAAAAAGAGUUUACAUCGAAUAGAUCUCCACAAGAGAGGGGGAGAACAUGGUAUUGAGAUCCAAAAAGAGAGAAGAAGCCAUCUAGCUAAUAACUAUGGACCCGAAGGUCUGUGGUAAACUACUCAAAACUCAUCGGAGAGUCUAUGGUGUUGAUGUAGAAGCCCUCCAUGGUCGAUUCCCCCUCCGGUGGAGCGCCGGCGAAGGCUCCACGAUGGGAUCUUGCGGAUACAGAAGGUUACGGCGGUGGAAAUUUCUUUUUGUUGGCUCCCUGGAUGUUUUCGGGGUACGUGGGUAUAUAUAGGAGGAAGAAGUACGUCGGUGGCCGCCUGAAGGGCCCAGGAGAUAGGGGCGCGCCCUGUAGGGGUGGGCAUGCCUUCCUAUCACCUGGCCGCCAAGAUUGCUUGUUCACUUGCACUCCAAGUCCUCUGGAUCACGUUCGUUCCAAAAAUCACGUUCCCGAAGGUUUCAUUCUGUUUGGACUCCGUUUGAUAUUCCUUUUCUUCGAAAUACUGAAAUAGGCAAAAAAAACAGCAAUACGGGCUCGGCCUCCGGUUAGUAGGUUAGUCCCAAAAAUGAUAUAAAUGUGUAAAAUAAAUCCCAUAAACAUCCAAAAGGGGUAAUAUAAUAGCAUGGAACAAUCAAAAAUUAUAGAUAGUUGGAGACGUAUCUUGUUGCGGAGAGUCCGGCGGGCUCUAGACUCCCGUCUUCGGACUCGGUGAGGAGUUCUGGAUCUAAGGUCGGAGCCAUGGUUGAAGCCGCGAACCCUUGGAAGAUCAAGUCUCCCCGGAUAUCAGGGAUGUGACAUCCAGAUAAUUAAGCUACAGUAAUCCCCCACUAAUGGUGCCAUGUCAUCACAUUACUGUUGCUAAUCCUCGCUUGAUCCAAAUCAUAUUUCAAAUUCAAAUUCAAAUUAAAGUCCAAAAUUAAAGUUUCUCAAACAUGCAAAAUAUAAUGUCCAAAGUCUGGACAAUAUUCCAUAACUAAUUAUGGUGGUGACCCAACACUUUUGUAAAGUGUUUAAAUCCCCUUUUGUGAAUAUAACAGUGACUUCGGCAAUCAUUUAAAUGCCUUUCCAUUUAUGAAAAUUUCAAAGGAACUCGAAAGCCUCCCAAACUUUUUGUGGCAGUGCUAGUAAAUGCAAGAUAUUUAUCUGGCCAAGUCCCACAUGGUACAAAAUACAUUUGCUAGCUAAAAGAAAAUGGAAAAAAGAAAAGAGGCAAAAGAAAAUAAGAAAACCCCCUGGCUCCCCCUGGGCCUCAGCCCAUCCCACACCAGCCAGCCCGCCCAACUGGGCCAACCACCCCAGCCGGCCCACCUCUCCCGCUCCCUUAUCCCCCACUCCCCCAAAAUAUCUGACCGACCACCCCCACUCGCCACUCCCCCCUGACUCUCUCUCCCCCUCUCCCUAUCCGAUCUGGAUCGGGUCNNNNNNNNNNNNNNNNNNNNNNNNNNNNNNNNNNNNNNNNNNNNNNNNNNNNNNNNNNNNNNNNNNNNNNNNNNNNNNNNNNNNNNNNNNNNNNNNNNNNNNNNNNNNNNNNNNNNNNNNNNNNNNNNNNNNNNNNNNNNNNNNNNNNNNNNNNNNNNNNNNNNNNNNNNNNNNNNNNNNNNNNNNNNNNNNNNNNNNNNNNNNNNNNNNNNNNNNNNNNNNNNNNNNNNNNNNNNNNNNNNNNNNNNNNNNNNNNNNNNNNNNNNNNNNNNNNNNNNNNNNNNNNNNNNNNNNNNNNNNNNNNNNNNNNNNNNNNNNNNNNNNNNNNNNNNNNNNNNNNNNNNNNNNNNNNNNNNNNNNNNNNNNNNNNNNNNNNNNNNNNNNNNNNNNNNNNNNNNNNNNNNNNNNNNNNNNNNNNNNNNNNNNNNNNNNNNNNNNNNNNNNNNNNNNNNNNNNNNNNNNNNNNNNNNNNNNNNNNNNNNNNNNNNNNNNNNNNNNNNNNNNNNNNNNNNNNNNNNNNNNNNNNNNNNNNNNNNNNNNNNNNNNNNNNNNNNNNNNNNNNNNNNNNNNNNNNNNNNNNNNNNNNUGGUCCGUCGUGGCCGCGCCGUCCCGCCCUUGCUUUCCGCCUGCGUUGCGCGUGGCCGCCAGACCGCGCGUCCCUGGCCACGCCAGCCAGGCCCCGCGCCUCGCCACCCCAGUCCUUGCCGCUCCGACCGGCCGCGCCAUGGCCGCCGGCGUGCGCCCUCCUAGGCACCCGAGUGCUCCCCGCCCGGACCCACGCCCGCUAAGCCACUAGGGUCUAUGACACCAAGGCCCCACGCCCCUGGAACGUUUUUUUUAAGAAAAUAAUAAUUAAAGUUACUAAUUAAUUAGUUAGUAAUGUAAUUAAUUAAGUUAAUUAACCUGCUUAAUUAGCCUAAUUACCUAGUCGGUUGAUUAAAUCUAUUAGUUUGUUAAAACAGUCAAUGACAAAUGGGCCCCAUUGUCCCUUUUGACCAGUCAACCCAGUCAAUAUUGAGUGUUGACGAUGCUGACUCAGCAUGCUCUGGACCCCGUUGUCAGCUGCGUGUGCAUGUUGCUGGGUACACUUAUGUGUACCCAUAGCAUUUUAGUUAUUUAAUUUUGAAUUAAUAAAUAAAUUUAGAAAAUGAAUUAAAACUUUAAAAAUUAAUAUAAAAUAAUCCGUAACUCGGAUGAAAAACUUUGUACAUGAAAGUUGCUCAGAACGACGAGACGAAUCCGAAUACAUAGCCCAUUCGUCCGCCACACGUCUCUAGCAUAGUGAACCUGUAACAUUUCACCUCUUGUUCAUCUGUCCGAAAAUGCGAAACACCGGGGAUAUUUUCCUGGAUGUUUGCCCCUUUCGCCGGUAUCACCUAGCACCGCGUUAGAACACGUCUAGCUUUGCUUGUUGUCAUGUUAUGCUCUUGCUUGCUAUGUAUUUACUGUUUCUUCCCCCUCUUCUUCUCCGGUAGACCUCGAGACCGCUGCUGAUGCCCCUGUGAUGGACUACGUCGACGACGACCCUCCUUCUUGUCUGAGCAACCAGGCAAGCCCCCUCUUUGAUCAUCCCGAUAUCACCCAUUCUAUACUCUCUUGCUUGCAUUAGAUUUUGCUACUGUUAUUGUUUGCUCGUAUUCUGAUGCAUAGCCUGCUUUUGUAACCUGCUGUUGUACCUUACCUGCUUAUCCUAAACUGCUUAGUAUAGGUUGGUUAGUGAUCCAUCAGUGACCCCCAGUACUUCUCCUUGUUGCCCCUGCUUCAUCAUCAACGACUCGAUCAGUGUGAUCGACGACCAGAACCCGACACCUCACAUCACAUCACGCCCCUUUUGUUGCUCGACUCUACAGAGCUACUACCGAGUGCAGAUGGUGAUCCCUCAUAACACACUCCUGAUGAUAAUUCUGUAGUGUAGCUAUUCGGUCGUGGUCAUCGAGGGUGAUUUCCUCUUUCACCAUUCUCGAUACGGCUCUGUCGUUCAACACCUCAAGUGUGAACCUCAAGGGUGGUCCCUCUUACGUUCACCUUGAUGAUUACAUUCAGUGGAAUCCUCCGUGGGUGAUUCCUCGGGUUUUCCCCUUGAUGUUUGGACACACUGUUACCUUGACUUUACUUGAGACCUUAGUGAAAGUCGGGCGGGCCCGGAGAGCACCCGCAAGAUGGUUACGUGGCACGCCGGGCAUUCUAGGCCCUUGUGUAAGUCCACGAGAUGGGGCGACGGGGUCACUUUCGAUCGUGAGUCUCUGCUCGUCUCUGCAAGCUAAUAAUACACUAUGGUUUGGGUAUUUGUUCUGAGUUGGCCUUUGGCCUUCACGCACCAACCACCACGCGAGAAUAGUUAUGAGCCUUGACGUCGUGGUAUCAGCCGAAGCUUUGUCAGACAUCCAGUUCAGCAUUGCGACACGACCUGGUCAGCGCCCCGUUGGAGGUGGCCUGGAUCGCCCUGCGUGCAACGAUCCGGAGUGCAACGGGCGAUGGGCCCAGACCCCGGAGUGCUUAGGAUGCAGACCGGCGGGGACCUCUCUGCUGAGCCUAGGUAGGGCUGCGACGUGUUGAUCUUCCGAGGUCGGGCAUGACCCAGGAAAGUUUGUCCGGCCAGAGUAAUCAAGCGUGUUGGAAAACGUGGUGCACCCCUGUAGGGAAGAUUAUCUAUUAAUAGCUGUGUCCAUGGUAACAGACAUUCAGACUUAUAUCCUGAUCUUAUACAACUACAAAUGGAAACUUGAGAUAUGUGGCUCCGGGAUUGCUUUCUCGCAGGGAGUCGAGGAAGGAUCUUUGGGCAUUAAUGUUACGACAUGCUUGUUAAAUAUAAACUGCUAUUCUUUACUCUUGUACAUGCUGCAAGAUGCUUGGAGCUGCUUGAAGAUGCUAGUCUUCGAUAGGCUAGGCCUUCCCCUCUAUUCUGGCAUUCUGCAGUUCAGUCCACAGAUACAAAACCUUCCAUUUGAUACUAGUGCAUACUUAGUAUAGAUCUGAUGCUUGCGAGUACUUUGGAUGAGUACUCACGGUUGCUUUGCUACCACCUUUUCCCCCUUCUUUCUUCUUUCCGGUUUAUGCAACCAGAUGGUGGAUCCAUGGAGCCAGAUGCCACCGCCAACGGAUAAUGCUACGUGAAGACCGCCGACGACCAGGAGUAGUUAGGAGGUCCCAGGCAGGAGGCCUUGCCUCUUCGAUCAUGUUGCUUUUGUGCUAGCCUUCUUAAGGCAUCCUUGUUUAACUUAUGUCUGUACUCAGUUAUUGUUGCUUCCGCUGACUCUUGUGUAUCGAGCUUGUAUUCAAGCCCUCGAGGUCCCUGGCUUGUAAUAUAAAGCUUGUAUUAUUUUAUUUGUGUCUAGAGUUGUGUUGUGAUAUCUUCCCAUGAGUCCCUGAUCUUGAUCGUACACAUUUGCGUGUAUGAUUAGUGUAUGAUUGAAUCGGGGCAUCACAAGUUGGUAUCAAAGCCGACUGCCUGUAGGAUCCCCCUUUCCAACUCCUUCGCCGAAGUUGAGUCUAGUCUUUGAAACAACUAAUUUGCUAACUUGGUUGUGUGUCUUACGGGCCCAUGUCGCCAUUGGGUGGUAUUAGGAUCUUUUAUUCCUCAUCUAUACUCUGGGAAUCUGAUCUCUCUUCCAUUCUGGUUAACUGAUUUUGCUAACAACUCUAGAUUCUUGUAAAUACUUUCUCCCGGAGAGCCCCUCACUCGAGAUGAUUACUUGGUGCACCAGAAGAUUCUGAAGAUACUCUCCGAAGUUUUCUCGAGACCCUUGUGCCCUUCGUCAUUGCAAUCCCUAACACCGAUAAAGCCUUAUGCGUAACUACCUACUUUGGCGUUCAUACCUUCAUCCCCAGUUGCUCUUGUUAUUACAAGAUGUCCUGAAAUACUCUUUGAUGUUCCGACAAUUCUUUAUGCUUACUGCCCUGCAGUUCCUUGCCGCAUGAAUACCCCUAUGGAUAAUUACUCACUCUUAUCGAGUAUCCAUUCAUCCCCAGUUAUUCUUAUGCUUCAUGAGAUACUUUGUAAUACAAUCCGAGCUUUUGAGGACCUCUGUCGCCAAUUGCUCUAGAAGGUCUUACAUGCCUACACUCUGGCUAUUUCCAUAUGCCUAGCUAUAUCCAUUGACGUCCUUUCUCAUUGUCAUUUUGAGUCUUUCGAUUUGAUAUGUUUGUGAGUAGUCACAAUCAUCAGUUGGUCCUUAUAAAUUAUCAUUCCAGCUUAAACGUCUUCCUGAACAUGAGCUAGUUCUCGGCCAAUCAGAUUGCCAUCGGUUGUGCCCUAAGUCUUUUCAACUUAUCCAUUCUUGAUCAGAGCGUUUGCUUUUGAUCCCUUGAUUUGGUAAUCAUAAUUCCUUUGCACUUGAGCUUUGAAUUAGUCAGUUGUUUCUAUAAUCUGAUUUCUUCGCAUGUUUUCUUCUUCUGGCUGAUUAUCGAUACUCACAUCAGAUCCCUGUGUACCACCAGAUCCUUUGUUGGGUUUUAUCCAAUAGGGUCCUUCAUAUUCAGUAACCUUGUGAGCUUUUCGUCAGAAUCAUAAUGCCUUUGGUAAAUUGUAUCCCCUGCUUUUGUCAACCAUGCUCUACUUUUGAGCUUGAGUUAUUUAUUCCUAAAGUUUGUGGUAUGUGUUCCUAAGAUGCCCCGAUGGGUUGAACCUAUGCCUUCCACAAACUGUGUGAACCCGAAGAUUAUGCAGGUUAUAUCUACUGGCGUUUCUUUGGAUAAAUUUUCAAUUCUACAACUUUGUCAAAGACAAGAAGUAAAUGAAAAGUUGUGCAUUAGGGAAGUGGGAGUCGACCUUGAGCCUUGUGUUCAUGCCCAUGGACCCGAUGUGGAGCUUAACAUGGAAGCUUCUUGUUAUAAUAAUAGCCCCUUGCAAUAAGUUCAUCUCGUAUCCAUGUUUGGUCCCUUGGAAUUGUGGUUCCAACCAUAUUGUUCUUGUUUGAUCCAUUUAUCAGACAAGUUAAAGUACUUGUCUUCUUCAGAUCGUUUCACCUAUUCUGCCUCUACAUUGAUAUACCUUCGGGUAUUAUCCUCUGGUAUAUCGAGAAUAUCACGGAACUACAUAACUUCUUAUGAGUUCUUGAUCAAAUAUUAUUUCUCGUUGAUUCAAAAUUUUCAUUGGUUUGGAGUUGUUAGACACUCGAGAAUACAGAUAACAGUCUAUGCUUUCCUUUCCAUUGUUUUGUUUAAUCUUUCUUGUAACCUAUCUUAUCUGAGCAGUGAUAAUUCCCUGCUUAUGUAAACACCUCGGUGUACAAACUCUGUCAGUAAGACCUUGUUACUAUUGUUGAUGACAUUCCGGUAACCACCAAUGGAUGAGAACUUAACCUAUUGGUCCACCUCAUCUUAACGAGCAGGAAAAUGGUUCUCUUUGUCCCUCACCCUUGGUACCAACGUUGUUGCCAACAUAACUGACAGGUUGUCCUCUGACCUGCCUUGCUAUCAGGACUGUGCAAAAUGUAACGCGUUCUUGCUUUUAACCCACAUGGUGGGCCCAUAACCCAUAGUUCCACAGGAUCGAAACCUGACUGUCCUGUACAUCUCUGUCUUCCAAAAUUGUUCCUCGUUCUUGGUUUCGUAUUUUCAUGAGCCACCUUCUUGUCAUCUGUUCUAGUAUCAGAUGCAAUACUUAUUCUCGAUGCUUUGAAACCCCUUCAUCACCUGUUUUAUACAUCAGCUGGAUGCCUACCUGGUCGAAACUUGUUGAACCUUCUUAUAGCACUCUCGAUACGUCUCCUGGUGCUUCUAAAUUCUUCUUCCUUGAGAUAACUACCGGAUGCCGAUCUUUUCAUACAUCCAUCCUUAUAGCUUCCUCCCUAUUCCACGCCUUAAAUCUUGGGACAAGAUUUCUUGUAGUGGAGGAGAAUUGUGACGCCCGGAUAAUUAAGCUACAUUAAUCCCCCACUAAUGGUGCCAUGUCAUCACAUUACUGUUGCUAAUCCUCACUUGAUCCAAAUCAUAUUUCAAAUUCAAAUUCAAAUUAAAGUCCAAAAUUAAAGUUUCUCAAACAUGCAAAAUAUAAUGUUCAAAGUGUGGCCAAUAUUCCAUAACUAAUUAUGGUGGUGACCCAACACUUUUGUAAAGUGUUUAAAUCCCCUUUUGUGAAUAUAACAAUGACUUCGGCAAUCAUUUAAAUGCCUUUCCAUUUAUGAAAAUUUCAAAGAAACUCGAAAGCCUCCCAAACUUUUUGUGGCAGUGCUAGUAAAUGCAAGAUAUUUAUCUGGCCAAGUCCCACAUGGUACAAAAUACAUUUGCUAGCUAAAAGAAAAUGGAAAAAGAAAAGAGGAAAAAGAAAAUAAGAAACCCCCCUGGCUCUCCCUGGGCCUCAGCCCGUCCCACCCCAGCCAGCCCGCCCAACUGGGCCAACCACCCCAGCCGGCCCACCUCUCCCUCUCCCUUAUCCCCCACUCCCCCAAAAUAUCUGACCGACCACCCCCACUCCCCCCAUGACUCUCUCUCUCUCCCUCUCCCAAUCCGAUCUGGAUCGGGUCGUUCCACCCNNNNNNNNNNNNNNNNNNNNNNNNNNNNNNNNNNNNNNNNNNNNNNNNNNNNNNNNNNNNNNNNNNNNNNNNNNNNNNNNNNNNNNNNNNNNNNNNNNNNNNGCAGGAGCCUCCCGACGCCGCCGCAUGCCGUCGCCUCGCCCCUCUUCCCUCGAAGCCCUCCCUUGCGGCGACACCCCAAGCCGCUGCCCCCUGGUGCCGCCCCGAUGGCCGCGCCCCGCCACCCAGUGCUGCCCGACGCUGCUUGUGGUUGCCCACCGUUGCCUCCCCGCCGCUGUGCGCCGUCAUCAUCGUCGGAUCGUCGGCGCCACCUCGCCCGGAAGUCACCCCGCCGCCUCGACCACGCCUCCCCACCGGACUGCGUCCUCGUCUCUGACGCUGCCGUCCCCGUCCCCCACCUCAAGCGNNNNNNNNNNNNNNNNNNNNNNNNNNNNNNNNNNNNNNNNNNNNNNNNNNNNNNNNNNNNNNNNNNNNNNNNNNNNNNNNNNNNNNNNNNNNNNNNNNNNNNNNNNNNNNNNNNNNNNNNNNNNNNNNNNNNNNNNNNNNNNNNNNNNNNNNNNNNCAUUGCCCCGUGCCCUAUGCUCCGCUGUGAGCCCCUCGCCGAUCCCCCCUCGUCUCCGUCGUCGAACAUGGUCGCGCCUCCCAAUUGCGCAUGCUGCCCGGCCCGUGCUCCCGUGCAUCCCACCGCCGUCCCGCGGUCGCCGCGCCCUGGUCUACCGUGGCCGCGCCGCCCUGCCCUUUCUUGCCGCCUGCGUCGCGCGUGGCCGCCGGACCGCGCAUCCCUGGCCACGCCAGCCAGUCCCCGCGCCUCACCGCCCCAGUCCUCGCGGCUCCGACCUUCCGCGCCAUGGCCGCCGGCGCGCGCCCUCCUGGGCACCCGAGUGCUCCCCGCCCCUGGUGGCCUUGGGCACGCACGCCCGCACCCGUGCACCCGCACCCGUGCGCCCGCACCCGUCGCCCGCUAAGCCACUAGGGUCUAUGACACCGGGGCCCCACGCCCCUGGAAUGUUUUUUUAAGAAAAACAAAUAAUUAAAGUUAAUAAUUAAUUAAUUAGUAAUGUAAUUAAUUAAGUUAAUUAACCUGCUUAAUUAGCCUAAUUACCUAGUUGGUUGAUUAAAUCUAUUAGUUUGUUAAAACAGUCAAUGAGAAAUGGGCCCCAUUGUCCCUUUUGACCAGUCAACCCAGUCAAUAUUGAUUGUUGACCAUGCUGACUCAGCAUGCUCUGGACCCCGUUGUCAGCUGCAUGUGCAUGUUGCUGGGUACACUUUUGUGUACCCAUAGCAUUUUAGUUAUUUAAUUUCGAAUUGAUAAAUAAAUUUAGAAAAUAAAUUAAAACUUUAAAAAUUAAUAUAAAAUAAUCCGUAACUCGGAUGGAAAAAUUUUGUACAUGAAAGUUGCUCAGAACGACGAGAGGAAUCCGAAUACAUAGCCCAUUCGUCCGCCACACGUCUCUAUCAUAGUUAACCUGCAACAUUUCACCUCCGGUUCAUCUGUCCGAAAACGCGGAACACCGGGGAUAUUUUCCUGGAUGUUUCCUCCUUUCGCCGGUAUCACCUAGCACCACGUUAGAACACGUCUAGCUUUGCUUGUUGUCAUGUUAUGCUCUUGCUUGCUAUGUAUUUACUGUUUCUUCCCCCUCUUCUUCUCCGGUACACCUCGAGACCGCCGCUAAUGCCCCUGUGAUCGACUACGUCGACGAUGACCCUACUUCUUGUCUGAGCAACAGGCAAGCCCCCUCUUUGAUCAUCCCGAUAUCACCCAUUCUAUACUCUCUUGCUUGCAUUAGAUUUUGCUACUGUUAUUGUUUGCUCCUAUUUUGAUGCAUAGCCUGCUUUUGUAACUUGUUGUUGUACCUUACCUGCUUAUCCUAAACUGCUUAGUAUAGGUUGGUUAGUGAUCCAGCAGCGACCCCUAGUACUUGUCCUUGUUGCCCCUGCUUCAUCAUCAAUGACUCGAUCAGCGUGAUCGACGACCAGAACCAGACACCUCACAGUACAUCAUGCCCCUUUUGUUGCUCGACUCUACAGAGCUACUAUCAAGUGCCGAGGGCGAUCCCUCAUAACACACUCCUGAUGAUAAUUCUGUAGUGUAGCUAUUCGGUCGUGGUUAUCGAGGGUGAUUUCCUCCUUCACCAUUCCCGAUACGGCUCUGUCGUUCAACACCUCAAGUGUGAACCUCGAGGGUGGUCCCUCUUACGUUCACCUUGAUGAUUACAUUGACUGGAAUCCUCCGUGGGUGAUUCCUCGGGUUUUCCCCUUGAUGUUUGGACACACUGUUACCUUGACUUUACUUGAGACCUUGGUGAAAGUCGGGCAGGCCCGGAGAGCACCUGCAAGAUGGUUACGUGGCACGGCCGGGCAUUCUAGGCCCUUGUGUAAGUCCAUGAGAUGGGGCGACAGGGUCACUUUCGAUUGUGAGUCUCUGCUCGUCUCCCCAAGCUAAUAAUACACUAUGGUUUGGGUAUUUAUUCUGAGUUGGCCUUUGGCCUUUACACACCAACCACCACGCGAGAAUAGUUAUGGGCCUCGACGUCGUGGUAUCAGCCGAAGCUUUGUCAGACGUCCAGUUCAGCAUUGCGACACGGCCUGGUCGGCGCCCCAUUGGAGGUGGCCUGGAUCACCCUGCGCGCAACAAUCCGGAGUGCAACGGGCGAUGGGCCGAGACCCCGGAAUGCUUAGGAUGUAGACCAGCGGGGACCUCUCAGCUGAGCCUAGGUAGGGCUGCGACGUGUUGUUCUUCCGAGGCCGGGCAUGACCCAGGAAAGUGUGUCCGGCCAGAGUAAUCAAGCGUGUUGGAAAACGUGGUGCACCCCUGCAGGGAAGAUUAUCUACUCAUAGUCGUGUCCAUGGUAACGGACGUUCAGACUAAUAUCCUGAUCUUAUACAACUACAAAUGGAUACUUGAGAUAUGUGGCUCCGGGAUUGCUUUCUCACAGGGAGUCGAGGAAGGAUCUCUGGGCAUUAAUGUUACAACAUGCUUGAUAAAUAUAAACUGCUGUUCUUUACUCUUCUACAUGCUGCAAGAUGCUUGGAGCUGCUUGAAGAUGCUAGUCUUUGAUAGGCUAGGCCUUCCCCUCUAUUCUGGCAUUCUGCAGUUCAGUCCACAGAUACAAACCUUCCAUUUGAUACCAGUGCAUACUUAGUAUAGAUCUGAUGCUUGCUAGUACUUUGGAUGAGUACUCACGGUUGCUUUGGUACCCCCUUUUCCCCCUUCUUUCUUCUUUCCGGUUGAUGCAACCAGAUGGUGGAUCCAUGGAGCCAGAUGCCACCACCGACAGAUAAUGCUACGUGAAGACCGUCGACGACCAGGAGUAGUUAGGAGGUCGCAGACAGGAGGCCUUGCCUCUUCGAUCGUGUUGCUUUUGUGCUAGCCUUCUUAAGGCAUCCUUGUUUACCUUAUGUCUGUACUCAGUUAUUGUUGCUUCCGCUGACUCUUGUGUAUCAAGCUUGUAUUCGAGCCCUCGAGGGCCCUGGCUUGUAAUAUAAAGCUUGUAUUAUUUUAUUUGUGUAUAGAGUUGUGUUGUGAUAUCUUCCUAUGAGUCCCUGAUCUUGAUCGUACACAUUUGCGUGUAUGAUUAGUGUAUGAUUGAAUCGGGGGCAUCACAAGCGACAUAUUUUAGGUUUCCGAAACUAAUCUGAUGACCAGGGGCGUAACGGUCGAUCUGCUCCAGGUGACCAAUCAAGUUGGCACGCGGUGCGAAGCCGCCGAAUACGAAGAUUUGGCCGGAGAGGAAAGUCUUCCCCAGGGCGAAAUUGUUGUGGAUGGUUGAUGGAGCCAUCGAGCCUUCUGGGGACGACACAGUGGAACUCUCAAUGAAAGCGCCAAUGUCGGUGUCAAAACCGGCAGAUCUAGGGUAGGGGAUCCCGAACUGUGCAUCUAAGGAUCAAAGGUAACAAGGAGGCAGGGGACACGAUUUUAACCCAGGUUCGGGCCCUCUUAAUGGAGGUAAUACCCUACUUCCUGCUUGAUUGAUUUUUGAUAGUAUAGGGGUUACAAGAGUUGAUCUACGUCGAGAUCGUGAUGGCUAAACCCUAGAUGUCUAGCCUGUAUGAAUUGUGUUGUCGCCUAUGGACUAAGCCCUCCGGUUUAUACAGACACCAGAGGGAUCUAGGAAUGUACAGAGUCGGUUACAGAGAAAGGAAAGUACAUGAUCCAAAUGCUAAGCUUGCCAUCCACGCAAGGGAGAGUCCUAUCCGGACACGGGGGAGGUCCUACCUUGUACCUCCAGGGCCCACCAGUCCAGCCCAUGUCACGUAGGCCGACUCCUCGAGGACGCCAUAGUCCAGGACUCCCUCACCCCUCCACUUAUUCCAGCACCUACACACUUCGUCUUCCUGCAGAAAAAAUCAUCCCAUAGCUCAAACCCGUGUUCUAGCUCGUUUUGCUGCAUUUUCGAUCUCCUUGCUCAAAGCUCCAUUUACAAAGCUGCUUUUGGGGAUUGUUCUUUGUUAUGUGACUCCUCCAAUGGUCCAAUUAGUUUUUGUUCUAGUGCUUUAUUUAUUGCAAACUUUUUCUGCUGAGGUGACCCUGUUCUUGAGCUUGCAUGUCAAAUUUAUAUGGUCCAAAGUAGUGUUAAUGCAUGAUAUAGCCUCUAGGAACUUGUGGGAGUAGUUGCUAUCAAUCUUGUUGAGUUUGAGUCACUAAAAAUUUCAGAAAUUUUUCAGAGGAAGAAAAAUGUUUGGGAAAAUGUACCAAGGUGGUUCUUUAAGGAAGCAAGAACCAAGGCUCACGAUACAUGAGCCGGACCUUGAACCACCAAGGGAAGCUCAAGUGUGGACUUGUGAAUGGCCGUCGGAACAGUUUAUGGUCCAAGCAGGCUUCAAGGAUGGAUUUGAUGCAUAUGUACGUAAUGCUAAUCUUGAGGACUUCCUAUCAGAUAAGUGCCGACAAUACUAUCAUCUCACUGAUUCCUUUGUGAGGAGGUUUAAAUUUUCAUCCACGUGCAACACUCACACUGUUUUAUGCGACCUCUAUGAUAAAUCAUAUACCAUGGACCUUGAAGAUUUUAACACUGCUUGUAAAAUCCCACAGUGGGGUAACUUUGGUGAACCUCGCAAAUCUGAAUAUAAAGAUUUCCUUACUAGUGUCACUGUGGGAGAAACUAGAGAGAUCACACAAGCUACCAUAGGGAUCAUUCAUUUCCCUUCCAUACAUUACUUUGCGCUCUUUAUAGGUCGAUGCAUUAACGAUAAAGAUGAGCUUUGUCACAUGUGCGUUCCAGAUCUUAGUGUCCUCAAGAGUGCUGUAUUAGGUGAUAAACAAUAUAACUUGGGGGCCAUUGUUGCACGGAGGUUACAUCUUAAUGGUAAAAGUUGAGAUUUGUUUGGUGGAAUUUAUGCAACUCGUUUAGCUGAUUAUCUUGGUGUACCCAUAAAUGGAAAUGAUAUGAGUUGUCACCUGCUUAUCUAGAUUAUAAUGCUAUGGUUCUCCAUCAGUUUCUUGAGAGGAACGAAUAGUUCCUUCAGUACCGACUAAUCUUUGACAGACAAUGUACUAUCCAUAUUACUCUCCCUGCUCCUACUUCCUUUAACUUUCAGGCAAACAGGAGAUAUUCUAUAACCAGGGAGGAGGCAAAUGAAUACGAGAAGAGGACGGAGGCAGCUCGCCUCCAGGCUGCAGCUCUCUUGGCAGUAGCUGCUGCAUCUCAGUACAACCCCGACUACGACUUUGGAUAUCCACCAGGCUAACCGUGGCCAUAGACCAACUUAGGCCAAAAUCCUAAGCUCGGGGGAGUACGUAUUUCUCACCGACAUUACAUUCAUGUUCACACACUCAUUCUAGUUGUCGAUGUUCACACUUUUUCAUUGUACUAUCCAUGCUAGUUUAUUUUCUUUUCUUGCUUUCUUCUUGUGUGCUUGAAAAACCUUGAGAAAAAACCAAAAAAAGAAAAUAGUUGUAGCUUUUAGCUAGUUUACUUUCCAUGCUUUUAUUAGUAAUAUUAGACGAAAACCCAAAAAGAUUUCCAGUUCUUCUUUUCCUUGUUGGUGGCUUUCCCGUGUAAAUAAUUUUCUUUUUCUUUGAAAUUAUUUUCUUUUCUUUGGGGGUCGAGAGGAGAAGACCAUGAUGAAAAUGAUGAGUGGCUCUCAUAUGCAUUAUUGUGGAUCUAACCAAGAGCCCAUAUUACCUUGUCUUCUCCUUUGAAUUAAAUGUUUGCAGAUUCCAGCUUAGUCCAAUGCACGUGCACUAUUAUUAUUAUCCACACCGUACGAUUGUGCGAGUGAAAGGCAAUAAUGACGAUAUAUGAUGAAAUGAUUGAGAUGAGAGAAGCUGGUAGGAACUCGGCCUAUCUUGUUUUUGUAAAUAUGAUUAGUUCAUCGUUCCUGAUUCAUCCUAUUAUGAAUGAAACAUGUUUGCAAUGACAACUAGAGAUUAUAGUUGCUUAUGCCAUGCUUAAUUAGCUAGGAGUUUAUAAUGGUUUACCUUGCGCGCCAACAUGCUAUUAAAAUGGUUGUGAUGUGGUACGAUAGGGUGGUAUCCUCCUUUGAAUGAUUCGACUCGCUUGACUUGGCACAUGUUCACACAUGUAGUUGAAACAAAAUCAACAUAGCCUCCAUGAUAUUUAUGUUCAUGGUGAUUUAUAUCCUACUCAUGCUUGCACUCAUUGUUGGUUAAUCUUAAUGCAUGUUCAUGACUGUUGUCGCUCUCUAGUUGGUCACUUCACAGUCUCUUUGUAGCCUUCAGUUGUACUAAGCGGGAAUACUGCUUGUCCAUCCACUUCCAUAAACCCCAAAGUAGUUCCAUAUGAGUCCACCAUACCUUCCUAUAUGCGGUAUUUACCUAUCGUUCCAAGUAAAUUUAUAUGUGCCAAACUCUAAACCUUCAAAUGAAAUUCUGUUUUAUAUGCUCGAAUACUCAUGUAUCAACUAGGGUUGUCUAUAUCUUCCCUGCUAGGUGGGUUAUUCUCACGAUGAGUGGACUCCGCUCAUCAUUCACAAGAAAAUGGCCGGUAAUCGGAUGCCCAGUCCCAUGCUCAAAUCAAAUCAAAAUAAUUGCAAACAAAACUCCCCAAAGAUUGUUGUUAGUUGGACGGUAUCCGUUGUUUCAGACCAGCCGUGGAAUAUGCUCGUUCGUGAUGGGGAGUAUAAACUUUACAAUUCUGUUUGGGAACCGCCUAUAAUGUAUGUAGCAUGGAAGAUGUCGAGAUCUCUUGGUUGUUAUGUUGACAAUGAAAGUAUGCCGCUCAAAAUAUUAUUUAUCUCUGUUUCAAAACUCGAGCUCUGGCACCUCUACAAAUCCCUGCUUCCCUCUGUGAAGGGCCUAUCUAUUUACUUUCAUCUUGAGUCAUCAUCCUCUUAUAAAAGGCACCAGCUGGGGACCACCACUGUCAUUCGCAUGCAUUGCUGUCGGAUUUCGGGUUCCGGCAGACUCUUAAGGUUCGAACUCUAGGGUGCGCGUGGGGAUCACUCCCUCUGCCAACUUACGUCUCGUCGCCUCGCAAAGAAUCUAGACUACACGAAGAACAACACAAGGGACGCAAGGUUUAUACUAGUUCGGGCCACCAUUGUGGUGUAAUACCCUACUCUAGUUGGUGGUGUGGUGGAUUGCCUCAGGGGCUGAUGAUGAACAAUAAAAGGAAGAACUACCUCGCGAGGGGAGGAGUUCUUGUGGAGGUGAUACCUCUUGGGAAGGAUUGAAUCCAGAUCCCUUUCUACUGUGGUGGCUAGCUCUAUUUAUAGAGCGAGGCCCUGGUCCUCUUCCCAAAUAUUGAGCGGGAAGGGUGCCAACAAUUGGCCAUUUUUGAAGGGGAACAUCUAGUACACUUAUCCUGACUAAAGUUGGUCCUCGCCUGCCAAAGACUCUGAUGAUGACGCCGGCUUGGGCUCCACGAUGACCUCCAUCCUGCCAUUCUGCUGGUCUUGAUCUUGUUGCACCGAAAUGGUUGCCUUUGCUUGAUACCCUUGCCUGCGCUUGCCCCUUUGCACCAAAGAGGAAACAAGGACUCUGUGCAGGCCAGCGCCCGCCUGGCGCCCGCCUGGCUUCGGUCGUCAUGGCUUGCGUCAUGGGCACCUCGUGAGGUACCCCGCCUUGAUCUCUCCGCCUCCUCAUGAGCCAGCCUGACGAGGCUGCACCUGAGGAGGCUUCCUGUCGUCCGCCCCGUGAGGCUUGGCCCCUCGCGAGGGUCUUGAGCUUAUGUUGAUGAAGAUGGGCCGCACUGGGCCACUCCUUGAGCCACACCGCAGGCCGCAGGCAGGUAAGUCUGGGUACGCCCGUUCCCAGAAUGUCGACAGUAGCCCCAGGGCCCAAGGCGCGCCCGGACUUGGCUUAGCGGAGAAGCGAAGGGGCAAGUGCGAAGCGUCGCGGGCCCCAACAGCCUGCGGCCUUGGGUGCCGCAUGGCGGUUGAUUGGACGUGAGCGUCCCCGCUUCCCCAUGACGCCUCGGCAACUGCACGACUUGACAAGAGAACGGCACCGGGCCAGGCUUACCCUCUUUGCCUUCUCUAGUCAUUGCCCAGAUCCCCUUUCUUGCUCUCCUCCUUCUUGCUUCUAAAAUCCUCCAGAUCUGCUUCAACCCCGCAUCUUUAGCAAGCCAUGGCGCCUCGUCAGACUCCAGUCGGGGCCUGGUACACGCCCGCUCUGGAUCCUCCGAACGUGUCAGAGAAGAACCUCGCCCUCACGCACCUGAUGAUGGCAGCGCAGGGCAAUGCGGGGGCGGCCGUGUUCAAGGUUGGCUCCGCCCUGCCCGAGGACAAGGGGAGCACCUUCUACCCGCUCUUCGUGAGCGCCAUCGCCACCGGUCUGGUGCCUCCCUUUUCUGAGUUUUUCCUUUCUGUUCUUCACCAAUACAAUCUGCAAGCUAUGCACCUCCACCCCAACUCUAUUCUUCUUCUGGAAAUUUUUGCCUAUUAUUGCAAGGCUCAUGUUGGGGUAAAGCCCUCUGUGGCCUUGCUGCGCCACUACUUUUACCUCCGGGUUUCUCACGUCUCCAUCACCGCGUGUGCGAGCUUUGUCGCGUACUCCAGCUCCAAUGCCAUCUCGAAGCCUGGGAAGAGGAUCGAAGGCUUCCGGAGCAAGUGGGUCAUGGUGGACGCGGGGCACAUCCACCAUCGGCUGGUGCUGCCUACGAGGUAGCCUAAGGCUGUCGAUGCUUGGUCCCGCGCAGAGCUCGUCGAUCCUCGCGCGAGGCCGGUGCUGGAGAGGAUGGACGCGGACCUGUGGCCGGGCAACAUGGCGACGGCGAAGCUGACCGGGGCGACGCUCCAGAGGGAGUUCCUGGAGCACCGGGUGGCUCCGCUUCGAGAAUAUUCGCUCCCACUAUGGAGGCUUGGGGAAGCCGACGUCGCCCUCCGCCCGAGCUCCGCAGCCCUGGCCGACGAAGAUCUGGCCACAGUCCUCCAUGCCUUGGUUGGGGGAGACAUGGUGAGACUGGAGGGUGCUCCUGUACCCCUGUUCCUUCGGGAUGACUGGGAGCAUGUGGUGAAUUCAUGCCCGCCUUCAACGGGGAGGGGCCUGUGCCUGUGGAGGUUCCCGAAGAUCUAGCGGCCCUGGCGACGGUGAACGUAUCUUCCGGUGACUCCGGCAGGGAGGAGGAAGAAGAGGGGGAGGAAGAGGAGUCUGACUCUGAAGCGACUGACGGAGAGUCGGGGAAGUCCCUCCCCCAGCGGAGGUCCCGCGCCCUCCGCCUCAUGCCGGACGACGACGAGGUUGGCGACGAGCAAGGUGAGGAGAGCUCGCCCCUGGUCCCAAGGAAGGACAGGACGGGGCUGAUCACCCGCGGGUCUGCUCCGGCUUCAAGGCGGCCUGAAGCUAGCUUCAACUCCUCUGACGUGCCUCCUGCUUCCGAGUCUCCUGAGGCUGACCCCAGCAGCCGACUCUCAGGCUUCAAGUUCGGUCGGAGGCUGCUUGAGUCCGUGAGCAAUGACCAGUAAGUGCUUGAUUUUCGUUUUGCUUCCUGCUUUUGUCGUUGAGGCUUGACGUCCAUAUUCCUUGGCUAGGCCAGUGCCUGCGGCGAAAAGGCUAAAGGGGGCCCCUGACGCUUCGCCUGGGGCAACACUUCCACCUGUGGGAGAAGGAGGCAGCAAGGCUCGAGCUUCCCCUGCCCGGUCAUCCUCGCGAGGCCAGGUGGGGCGUGCUAGUGUGAGCUCAGCCCCCAUGGCCCAGGCGACUCCCGAGGCGUCCUUGCCUGACGCCACUACUGCAGCCGCCGGGGCUCAGAAGGUCCCGACGCAUGGUGUUGUGAUCAUGCUGCCGUCUUCCCCUCCUACUCCGCCAACCGCCAUUUCUCCGACUCCUUCUACUGUCUUGGAUCGUGCUGCUGCUGAGCUGGACCGGCUGCGAGAAGAUCUUCAGGGCGUCGACCCUCGCCUGGUGGCAGGGCGCCUGGAGCUGGCCUCUGGUUGGGUCCGCUUCGAUGCUUCAGUUCGAGCGGCGCUGGUCCAGGCCAUGACGGCCUGCGACGAGGAGAAGCAGGCCAUCCUUCAAGCCAAGGCCGCUCGCGACGCCGCCUUGGGUGAGGCUGCAGAUGUCCGGGGCCGCUGCAAGGCGCUGGAGAGCGAGCUGCAAGGCCUGCGCGACCAGCUUGCCAAGGAGGUCCGUGACCGCCAGGAGAAGGAGGAGGAGAUGAAGACUCGUUUGGCUGCCGCCAAGGACCGGGACGCCGAGCUUGAUGAACGCCAUGGUCGAUUGGAUACGCUGUAGUAGGCAUUGGAGGCGAAGAGGAUCGAGCUGGACGACAAGGUGAGGGUCCUGGCCGAGGACCCGGUGGCCUUUGCGAAGCUGGAGGAGAGGGCUCGCGCCUCGCUGAAGACGCUUUAUGAUGGCGGCCUGGAAAAACCGCUAGCUGGCGCCAAGGAUGGCCCCGCCAAGUUGCUUCCCUUCCUGGUCCGUGCACUUGAAGAUGUCGCCAUCGGCCUUGGCCCCACGGCUGAGGCCGAGGCGCGUGUCCUUUCUUCUGCAGCGCUUGCGUGUGUCUUCACCCACGUCUAUCUUCGUGACAACAACGUCGAUCUUGACAGCCUGCUGGAGCCUACGAGCGGCGAGCUUGCCGCUGCCGCUACUGAGGCAGUGAAGGGUUGAGCGGAAGCCCUGCUGGCGAACUUCCGCGCCUUCAGCACCAAGCCAGGGCGAGAAGCUGCCAACCCUGGGGCUCCGCGAGGUGAAGCCGCCUAGCGCAACUCCACCACCAGCGAUGGCACCGCCGGAAAGUGACCCCUUCGCAGCUCCUGUCCUGUUUUAGUUACUGCAACAUGCAUCAUGCCUUGUGGAGGCAUUUAAACUUGUGUUUGGCGUUGUGAAAACAACCUAUGGACUGUAAUAUUUUCUUUUGAAUUCCUUGAGAUUUGCGCUUUUCCUUCCUACAUGCUUGUGUUCUACGUUGGCAGAGCCCGGCCCCGUGCAUACCUCAGUCGCCGUCAGCCCCGACUGGAAACCAGGAUGGGACCAACGAGUGAGGGGCUACGUGACCAGUUUGGCUCCUGAGUCGCGAUGCUCAGGAGUCCCCCUUGACACGCGAACAACAAGUAGGGAGGGGAGGUGUAGGAGUGGAUCUACCAUUCUACGUCGACAGGGCCCGGCCCCGCGCAUACCUCAACCGCCAUUAGCCUUUUGGAACUAAGGGGUGAGGGGCUACGUGACCAGUUAAGCUCCUGAGUCGCGACGCUCAGGAGUCCCCCUUGAUGUUCAAACGGCCUUCGUACCUUGGCUCCGCUUGGGGAGGGGUGUGCGACGAACCAGGCCCGAGGGGCCUGGCUGGGUGGCGUGCGCCUGGGCGUGACCCAGGCAUAGCCCCCGUGCCCAGCCCCCUCGCGCGGCACUCCCGAGGGGAGUCAUUACGAUAGGGCCGGACACUGAGCUCUGGGCUCCCUGAGGUUGAUGCGGCCGGGGGCCACCCUUAGUUGUUUAUCACCAGUGCGGAGCAUAGCGCUUCCGUAUGUGUACGGGCAUAGCCGCUCCUCGGUAGUGUCGUCAGCCAGCGCGGAGCAUGGUGCUUCCACUGGAGCAUGGGAGGGGCCUCCUGCGUGUACAGCCCCGCCCUGACACGUUGCUGGCACUUUAGGGCUUGACAAGGUGUAUCUUGGCACCCAUGAGCCAGCGCGGGACUCACGGGGCCCUACCUCAAGGCGGGUUGCGCCUGGCUCUGGGCCUUUGUUUGUAAUGUGCUACUGCAAAUUUGGUUAGAUGCCGUAGCUCUACGUCCUCAGGUCCCGCCCCUCGAGCGAGCUCAGUAGUCGCUGGUAUGCCAGGUCAUGAUGCCGUGGACAAGGCCAGGAGGUGAGGGCUGGAGAGCGAGUAAGAGUCCAUGAGUCGCGAUGCUCAGGUACCCCCCCUUUUAACGUGCAAGCGGCUAGCAUGAGGGAAGAAGGGUGCCGCCACAAGCAUCAAGUCAUAAUCAUGGCGGGUCAAAUGCACGACCUGAAUAAACGAGAGAGAGAUACAUGCCACUGGUUCAGGCCCGAGCGGCUUGGGGAUAAUGUAGCCCGAGGGGCGCCCCCAACAAAGUAACCUAAAGACAUGAACAAAAGGGAUACAUGCCGCAGGGACGGACCCAUGCGGCCUGGGAAUGAUACAGCCCUGGGGGCGCUCCCAGCUGAAAAUGAAACUCGAAGGAUGUCACCUGAUGAUGUUGGAGAUGAAGGAAUGCUGAAGUAGCGGACGACACGCGCUGUGGAAACCGAUCCUCACGAGCCCCCAGGCCCAGGAGCCUCAGGAGGCUUCGGGGGCGCUGGCGGCUCCUCGAGGAACAUCUCCAUCUCUGCCAGGACUGCGGAAUGCCUGACCUCCUGAGCCUCCAGAAUGCUCCUUAUGAGUCGCUGGCGCGCGGGAGCCGCGUUCGGCAAGCCAAAAGGCAUGCGAACAUAGCUGUGGAGUGGACCUUUGCAAUGUCCCACGCGUGAGGGCCAGAAACGCUCCUGAGAGGCGGCUCGGUUGAGCCCUGGUACGUCAAUGCAGAUGCGCAGCUCACAUCCUCGCCUGGAUGGGGGGCUACAACGGGUAAGCGGCGGCAGCCACUCAUGACUCUUGACUCCUGCAGCUCCUGAAUGAUCUCGCUGAUGAACUCCUGAGGGUUCGGCCCUCCUCGCCUUGCACCUUCCUGAGGGAAAUGUGCUUUGAAGCACGCCUCCAAGUGGUGCCCGAGCGCCUCCCUCGUGAUCUUGGCAGAGUCGAUGGCCCUCCAGGAGAGGUCCCCCGAGCCUUGCCCGAGGAGGGCGACGGGCGCGCCUUCCUAUGCGUCAGAAGGAGGCGCCCCUUGAACGGGUGCGGAUCCUGAGGGGCCUGCCUCCCGAGGGUUCGGACCAGGCAAUGUCUUCUUCUUCUUAGGGACUGCCUCGGGAAGUCUUCCGCUCCUGUGAUCUGGGUCUUCGAUUGACGCGGCCUGAAAAGCACGCUCCAGAGAACACACUACAUCCCUCUCCUCACAAGGCACUAUGAUGACUCCACCGCUUCCUGGCAUCUUGAGGACAUUGUAGCCGUGAUGAGUCACUGCCAUGAACUUGGCCAGGGCUGGGUACCCGAGGAUGGCAUUGUAUGGCAGGCGAAUGUAGGCGACGUCGAAGUCAAUGAGCUCGGUGCGGUAGUUGUCGCGCUGCCCAAAGGUGACAGGAAGGCGGACUUGCCCUAUCGGAACAAUGGAACCAUCAGUGACUCCUGAGAAAGGCUUGGUUGGCUGAAGCUGAUUGUAUGGCACUUGGAGAUUGUUGAACGUCUCGACGGACAGGACGUUGAGUCCUGCUCCGCCAUCAAUGAGGGUCAUGGUGACUUGCACAUUGCUGAUGAUUGGGGAGCAAAGCAUGGGGAGGACUCUGGCCGUGGCUGCGCACUUGAGCUGAUCCGCAGAGCUGAAUGUGAUAGCGCACGCUGACCACCUGAGAGGGCGCGUGGCCUCAAGCUUGGGGAGGACUGCAUUCACCUCGCGAGCAAACUGCUUAAAGAUGCACUAAGAGGUUGGGGCCUGAGCGCCACCCAAGAUGCAAGCGAUUGCGCGUGGCUCUUGGAAGCCCCCAGCCCCUUCGUCCUGAUGAUGGUCUUCAUUCCUCCUCGGUUGUGGUGGCAGAGGAGGGAGGCCUGCGUUGCCUUGUGGGCGAUCCUCACGAGGCUGAUCCCUCCAACCUCCCUCGCGAGGCUGGUCCUGCCAGCGGUCCUCGCGAGGUCGGUCACGCCACCCUUGGCGAGGGCCACGGUCUUCCCAUCGUCCUCCACCUCUUCCUCCUCCUCGGCCAUAGCCCCGGUCAUUGCGCUCGGGGCAUCGGCCAGCACGCACAUCUCGCACGACCCUGAGCUCUUGGCAUUCGUUGGUGUUGUGGGUGUGGAGGUCGUGGUACACGCAGUACCGGCUGCCCUUGCAUGACUCAGGCUGAUCCCUGCCUCUCUUGGUGUCUGGCUCUGCUACAAGCACAGCAGCCCCCUUGCGCUUCACGUCCUUGACCUUGGGCUUCUUCUCUUCUGGAUCGGCAGCCGGAAGCUCGAGGAGGGAGAGGCGCCCUUCCUCAGCCCUGGCGCACUUGGUCGCCAAGUUAAAGAGCUCCAGGGAUGUGCAUAGGUCUUCAUGGAUUGCUAGCUCCUCUUUCAUCUUGAUGUCACGCACACCGUCGGAGAAGGCUGAGAUGAUGGCCUCCUCAGUCACCCUGGCGAUCUUGAGGCAAGCGUUGUUGAAGCGUUGGAUAUACUUUUGCAGGGUCUCUCCUGGCUGCUGCUUGAUGUGGCGCAGGUCGCUCAUGGCCGGGGGCCGGUCGCGAGUGCCUUGGAAGUUGGCGAUGAAGCAUGUGCGCAUCUCCUCCUAGGAAGAAAUCGUGCCAGGAGCCAGGUUCAGGAGCCAGUUGCGGGCUCCGUCCUUGAGCGCCAUAGGGAACCAGUUCGCCAUGACCUCCUCGUCCCCGUUGGCGGCUUCGAUGCCCAGCUCGUAGAGCUGGAGGAACUCCGCAGGGUCAGCCGUGCCGUCGUAGCACGGAGGCAGAUCUGGCUUGAACUUGCCUGGCCAGGCCAUGCUGCACAGCUCGGCGGUGAAGGCACGGCAGCCUGUAGUGGCCACAUGAGGCCUCUGGUGACCACUACAAGAAAUACGGUCAAUUAUGACUCCCCAUUUUGGUCGUUAUUUUGUCAUUGCUUUCGUUUAUUGACAUUUUUUUGACCAAAGUUGGAAGGUCAACAGUGGGCCGUCAAGAACGAACAAACGUGACCUUUUUUGGAAUUUUUGUCAUAGCCACCCUUGACCAAAAUUUUGGUCGCUAAAUCUUUGACCAAAAUUAUGGUCAUUACUAAUGAGCCUAGGCCAUGUAGGAUCUGAUGUGGCUGAACCAACGUGGCAAUGAUGUGGCAAAAAUGAUGACAUGGAUGCCAUGUAGGAUCAAUCCAAAUCAGUUGUUUUAAUGGGCCGAGCCCAAUAAUUUAGCCCAUUUUUACAUUCACUUUUGGGCCAUAGCCUAUUAAUGUUAGUUCUUAUGCUCAAGCAAUGUGCAGUCCAUUUAUUCAAUCUACCAUUAGUUGGGCCAGCCCUUCUCUCUACCCAAAAAAAAUAUUGAAUCUUUUUUCUAUAAAAAAACUACAUUGGGCCUUGAGACGAGCCAGCCCACUCAUACAAUUUAGUAUUUUCGGUCCAGCCAAUAACCAAUAGUAGCUCAAAAAAGAAGCAUUUCACAGUUUGGCAGUCAACCAAUAUAGGAGAAUAAAAUGAUAAUAAUAAUACAAUUCUCCAAGAUUUCAUUAACUUAGGCCCAGCAGUAUCAUUACACCACAAGUUCAUAAGAUGCACCAACCAAAAUAACAUAGCCAGUAACACAGCCAAAGAAACUCAUCAACCCCAGGUCCAAACAACUCAGCAUCAAAAGUCCCAAAGCCAACAUCAACCACGCUGUAGUAACUAAUUUACCUUCGAACAGAUCCAUGAGACGCGCAAAUCUAGAAUCACUUGCUGCAGCCCUAGCAUCGCUGGCCUCAACUCUUUGCAGUAACAACUGAUACUCUGCGGCGCGUGCAGCUUCGGUCUCCUCUGAUUUCUUCUUGACCUCAACAAGCUCCUCU
RNAcentral lists this long non-coding RNA (34483 nucleotides) under Triticum aestivum (bread wheat). RNAcentral's name for it is "long non-coding RNA (TAES_LNC010189)". Lineage: Eukaryota; Viridiplantae; Streptophyta; Magnoliopsida; Poales; Poaceae. The record is from RNAcentral.